Molecule: long non-coding RNA, 1304 nt
Organism: Brachypodium distachyon (stiff brome)
Lineage: Eukaryota; Viridiplantae; Streptophyta; Magnoliopsida; Poales; Poaceae
Exons: 2
Source: RefSeq, a predicted model, not a curated record
UUGUCUGCUUCGUCCUCUGCUUCGGGCCAUCUUCUUUCAUAGAGGGCUCUGUUUCUCUUUCCUCUCUCCUAUCCUAAGAUGAAAAAGGAAUGCAUUUGGCAGGACUCAAAUAAGCUGCUUGAAUUUACCACCCCUCCGCAUCCCCCGCAUCUCAGUUCCGUACCCAAAGAGGGCUGCAAGUUAAAAUACCAUUGCUCCAUAACCAUAAGUGAGUCUAUGUUGAUUGUUCAUUUUCAUUCCAGAUCUGAAACUUUCCCGUUUGGCUGGACCGCUCCACGGGUAUACCAGUGCUCGUUUAUCCAGAGCUUGAAACGACCAGCUAAAGCACCGUGCCGACUGCGGAGUAACGAGGCACACCGCGCUAUGUAUGUAACCGGAACAUUUCACUCAGGCGCUCAGGCGGCACCCAACGGGAACACAUGAGCACAAGUGUCAGGUCAGGUGUACGUACACUCAGGCGCUCGUCUCGGGAAGAAGCUUCUUGUUUUGUGAGAGAUUAUGCUGCACGAUGAUGACUCACUGUGUUUGGACUUUGCGAGAGUCGUAUUCGUAACGAGCUAUUGUUCUUUCCGGGCUAGGUGGUGAGGAGAGAUCCCCGGUUUCAAUGGACCGAAACCAUGUAAAAACUCAGUACAAAUAUGAUAUCAACCGGAGACAUGAUUGGAGUACUAUACGAGGUGGGAGCCUGCGAGGCCACAGGCUUCUAUUUAGGGUUGCCAACGCCAGCCCAAUGGGCAAUGCGGACUCGUUCGCUUCAGCCGCAAUGUACUACGCGGGCGGCCACGGGCGCCGCAAGUCUAUGUGAUUGUGUCCAGCGGCACCGCGGCUCAGCCCAAAAUCCCGUGACAGAGAAGCUGCGCGCUGGUUCCCCGCUAGCUGCCGGAAGAAGCUGCGCCUAGGUUCUGCUUGCCGCUAGCUACACCAAUUUGCCGCUGGAUGACUGACUAAUAAAACUGCUGGCCACCAGCCACUGCUGUUGCUUGAAGCAGUAAUAUAGUAAGAUCACUUGAUUAAAUGAUUAACAGGCUACAUGAGGGAUGUAGUAAUUAACAGUAAUCAAUCCAAGUCCAACACAAGAGCUAUAGUAAUUAACAAUCCCGGGUUAGCUAUGUACUAUUUAUCAAGACAAAGUUGCUGACAGGAAGUUCCAGCUGUAGUAUUUUAACAAUCUCGGUUUUCAGACAACAGUAAUUAACAAUAAUUAACAAGAGUUGCUGAUCAACACAAUAGCUGCCCAGAAAAUUUAGAACCUCAGAUGCCAACACAUAUUGAUCAAAUUUAGCUGACAGAACACAAGAGUUGUU